Molecule: ribosomal RNA, 521 nt
Filed under: uncultured archaeon
Lineage: Archaea
Description: bacterial SSU rRNA
Rfam family: Archaeal small subunit ribosomal RNA
Source: RNAcentral
ACGGGGUGCAGCAGGCGCGAAAUCUCCGCAAUGCGCGAAAGCGUGACGGGGGAAUCCCAAGUGCUUCCCUACAAGGGUGGCUUUUCUUGAGUUUAAAAAUCUUAAGGAAUAAAGGCUGGGUAAGACCGGUGCCAGCCUCCGCGGUAACACCGGCAGCCUGAGUGGUACUCGCGUUUAUUGGGCUUAGAGCGUCCGUAGUCGGUUUGGUAAGUCCCCUGUGAAAUCCACCCGCUUAACGGGUGGGCGGGCAAGGGAUACUGCUUGACUAGGGGCCGGGAAGGGCCAGGGGUAUUCUUGGGGUAGCGGUGAAAUGUUACAAUCCCAGGAAGACCAUCUGUGGCGAAGGCGCCUGGCUGGAACGGGCCCGACGAUGAGGGACGAAAGCUAGGGGAGCGAACCGGAUUAGAUACCCGGGUAGUCCUAGCCGUAAACGAUGCGGGCUGAGUAUCGCUGAAACCUCGUGUUUCAGCGGUGCUGAAGGGAAACCGUUAAGCCCGCCGCCUGGGAGUACGUCGCAAGGC